GAUGAGAACGUAGCGAAAUGCGAUACGUAAUGUGAAUUGCAGAAUUCAGUGAAUCAUCGAAUCUUUGAACGCAUAUUGCGCUCUUUGGUAUUCCGAAGAGCAUGCUUGUUUGAGUAUCAGUAAACACCUCAACCUCUUCUUGAUUUUUCAAAAGGAGGGUGGACUUGAGCUAUCCCAACAACCUUUACCGGUCGGCGGGCGGCUUGAAAUGCAGGUGCAGCUGGACUUUUAUCUGAGCUAAAAGCAUAUCUAUUUAGUCCUCGUCAAACAGGAUUAUUACUUUUGCUGCAGCUAACAUAAAGGAUAAUUGUCCUCUUUGCUGACUGAUGCAGGAUUUUACGACACUUUAUGUGUUGUUCAACUCGAUCUCAAAUCAAGUAAGACUACCCGCUGAACUUAAGCAUAUCAAUAAGCGGAGGA
This 420-nucleotide unclassified non-coding RNA is filed under the name soil metagenome. RNAcentral's name for it is "partial contains 5.8S ribosomal RNA, internal transcribed spacer 2, and large subunit ribosomal RNA". The stretch from base 5 to 119 matches the Rfam family "5.8S ribosomal RNA", at positions 40 to 154 of the family's 154-position model. The record is from RNAcentral.